CUGCUGCCUUCCGUAGGAGUUUGGGCCGUGUCUCAGUCCCAAUGUGGCCGGUCACCCUCUCAGGUCGGCUACUGAUCGUCGCCUUGGUGAGCCGUUACCUCUCCAACUAGCUAAUCAGACGCGGGUCCAUCUCAUACCACCGGAGUUUUUCACACCAAACCAUGCGGUCUUGUGCGCUUAUGCGGUUUUAGCAGUCAUUUCUAACUGUUAUCCCCCUGUAUGAGGCAGGUUACCCACGCGUUACUCACCCGUCCGCCA
Molecule: ribosomal RNA, 258 nt
Filed under: uncultured bacterium
Lineage: Bacteria
Description: partial 16S ribosomal RNA
Source: RNAcentral